GGUGGUAUAGUGUAGCGGUUAGCACAUGGGAUUCUGAUAUGUCAAAUAGAUUUGGUUGUCUUCCCAUAACCCAGGUUCGAGUCCUGGUUCCACCU
This is a transfer RNA of Fistulina hepatica ATCC 64428, 95 nucleotides long. It matches the Rfam family "tRNA". From Rfam's summary of the family: Transfer RNA (tRNA) molecules are approximately 80 nucleotides in length. Their secondary structure includes four short double-helical elements and three loops (D, anti-codon, and T loops). Lineage: Eukaryota; Fungi; Basidiomycota; Agaricomycetes; Agaricales; Fistulinaceae. The record is from Rfam.